This 253-nucleotide ribosomal RNA is filed under the name uncultured bacterium. Its description in RNAcentral is "partial 16S ribosomal RNA". It matches the Rfam family "Bacterial small subunit ribosomal RNA", at positions 524 to 776 of the family's 1533-position model. The record is from RNAcentral.
UACGUAGGGGGCAAGCGUUGUCCGGAUUUAUUGGGCGUAAAGAGCGUGUAGGCGGCUAUACAGGUCCGCUGUGAAAACUCGAGGCUCAACCUCGAGACGUCGGUGGAAACCGUAUGGCUAGAGUCCGGAAGAGGAGAGUGGAAUUCCUGGUGUAGCGGUGAAAUGCGCAGAUAUCAGGAAGAACACCCGUGGCGAAGGCGGCUCUCUGGGACGGUACUGACGCUGAGGCGCGAAAGCUAGGGGAGCAAACGGG